AAGGCCUGUCCGCCAGUCCGUCUCUAGUGCCUUUCAUUCAACAUUAGAGGAGUACAAAAUGUAAACCGGACCGCGAGAGAACUAAAGUUACAGAAUAGUCCUUAAAAUUUACAAAAAGGACCCUAAAACAUAAAAUGGAAAAGCAAUCAGGUCCUUCUUCUUCACUGCAGAGGUCUGCUCGCCCAACCGUCCAGCUCGAUGCCCACCGCGCCACUCUAUCGUGCUCAGCUUGCCGCGCCGCCGCCCUGUCCUGCUCGUCGCGCCGCCGUGUGGACCCGCUCAGCUGCGCGGCUCCGUCCCAGCCACGCUCGGGAGGCAUGCAAGGGAGUCGGGGAUGGGCGGUGCUCGCCAGGCGGAGUCCUCGGCUGCUAUCGCGGCGGAGCUCGCGAGUUGGGCACGGGACCUCAAGGCCAGGGCUGGUGCCGGGGGUGGAGGCCGGCGGAGGCCUGCGGGGGUGACGGGGCCGGGGCCGCCGGUGGCCAGCGGGGGCGACGGGGCGUGGAGGCUGCCGGGGGCGACGAGCGACGGGGCUUGGAGGCCGGCGGAGGCCUGCGGGGGUGACGGGGCCGGGGCCACCGGGGACGACGAGCGACGGGGCUCAGAGGCCGGCGGGCGAGACGAUGGCCAGCGUUGCCCGGGCCGGCCGGCGAGAUGGCGGCCAGCGAGGUGGAGGUGGGCGCCGGCAGGCCUACGGUGGCGACGGGGGAAGUGGCCGCGGCCACCAGGCAAAGUGGUUGCCGGCGAGGCAGGGAACGGGGGGUGAGCUGUUGGCCGGAGCCGGUGGUCGAGGUGGUGCGGGCGCCGGUCGGUUUGCUCGAUGGACCGAGAGGGAGAGAAACGAGAGGGAGAGAGAAACGUGCGGUGGGGAUGGGGAUAAGGUAGACAGGACGUGGGGCGCGUGGGUGCUACCUGGGGGCGUGUGCAUCGUGGGUGGGUGGUGUGUGGACGGCCUGGUGGGUGGGAUGUGUGUCUACGAUGUUGCCAAGUCAUCGAUCCAUGUGAUCGAUACAUGUGAUGUGCUUUCUCUUUGCCGUCUGCAACAAAAAAUACAGACGGCAUAGAGCUCACUUUGCCGUCUGCAAAACAAAACACAGACGGAAAAUAAUCUUUGCCGUCUACGGAAAAAAUAUAGACAGCAAAGAAUCUUUGCCGUCUGUGAUUUUUGUUGCAGACGGCAAAGUGAGCUCUUUGCCGUCUGUGAUUUUUCUCGCAGAUGGCAAAGUUUAUUUUCCCGUCAGUUUUUCUUUGUCGUCUGGUGAUGCCAGCAAACCCUUUCUUUGCCGUCUGCCUGACGAAAAGCUGACGACAAAUUAUCUGUUUCCCGUAGUGGGAGUGACAGAGGUCUAUGGAAAAUGUGACUUAAGUCCGCAUGCUGCUGUGCCUGUACCAGAGUGAUGUCUUUAUUGAGCAAAAGAGUGUAGUUUAGGGAACAAUGUGAUUAGAGGGCUAUUCAUCCACUUAUCUAUCCUGAGCAUUAUUGUAUCUCCUCUACCAGCUUUGCACUUUGUAUGCUCUUUGAAUGUGGGCAACAGUUUCAUUACAGAUUUCCACCAGAAUGAACCAAUAAAUCUAUCUCCUGGUAAACUCUCCUAGUAAUAUGUCUCCCAAAUAAUAUUAACCCAUGGAAUGUCUUCUCUAUUGAAGAAUUUGUGCAGAAAUUUCAUGAGCAGGGCUUGAUUAUGAACCUGAAGAUCUAAAACUCCCAAGCCACCAUGGGAUUUAGGUAGACAAACUUUAUUCCAGGAGAUCAGUACCAUGCCUCUGUCAUGAGUUACACAUUUCCUCCAAAAGCAGUUCAUCAGGUAGGAGUUAAUUUGUUUAAGCACAGUCUUUGGGAUCAUGAGAGUACACAUGAAAAAGGUUGGCAUGCUUGUAAAGACUGACUUGAGUAGUGUGAGCUUAUCUCUAGUAGAUAACAUUGUGGAGCAGCUAAGCAAUAUGUUUUCUGUUCUCUUCAACAUUGGCAUAUAGUCUUCAACUUUUGGUUUGGUAGAGCCCAGGGGAAGUCCCAAGUAAGUGUGAGGCCAACAUCCAAUUUUACACUCAAGCAGAGUACAUAGUUCCAGCAUUUUCUCUUGAGGAGUAUUAAUAGAAAUAAUUGUGUAUUUUGAGUAAUUGAUUUGCAGACCAGAGAAUUCAGCAUAGUGAAAGAGCAUAUUUUUGAUAUGUUGAACUUGUCUGUGGUCAGCCUGGGCCACAAGCACAGUAUCAUCAGCAUAUUGAAUAAUGGGGAAAUCAGAAGAAGAGUUGUGUUGCAGAGGUGGAUGCACCAUGGCAUUUCUCACGACUUCAUUAAGCAUGCUUUAUGAUACGUCUCCAACGUAUCUAUAAUUUUUGAUUGUUCCAUGCUAUUAUAUUAUCAACCUUGGAUGUUUUAUAUGCAUUUAUAUGAUAUUUUAUAUGAUUUUUGGGACUAACCUAUUAACCUAGAGCCUAGUGCAAUUUCUGUUUUUUCCUUGUUUUAGAGUAUAUCGCAGAAAAGGAAAAUCAAACGGAGUCCAAUUGACCUGAAACUUCACGGAACUUAUUUUUGGAACGGGAGCAAUCCAGGAGACUUGGAGUAGACGUCAGGGAAGCUUCGAGGGAGGCACGAGGCAGGGAGGCGUGCCCUACCCCCCUGGGCGCUCCCACCACCCUGGUGGGCCCCUCGUGGAUCCCCUGACCGACUUCUUUCGCCUAUAUAUGUCCAUAUACCCUAAAAACAUCGUGGAGCAGAAUAGAUCGGGAGUUCCGCCUCCAGAAGCUCCGUAGCCACCGAAAACCAAUCUAGACCCGUUCCGGCACCCUACCAGAGGGGGAAUCCCUUUUCGGUGGCCAUCUUCAUCAUCCCGGCGCUCUCCAUGACGAGGAGGGAGUAGUUCACCCUCGGGGCUGAGGGUAUGUACCAGUAGCUAUGUGUUUGAUCUCUCUCUCUCUCUCUCUCUCUCUCUCGUGUUCUUGAGGUGGCACGAUCUUGAUGUAUCACGAGCUUUGCUAUUAUAGUUGGAUCUUAUGAUGUUUGCCGUCAGAAAGCAGACGGCAAAGUCAGACGGCAAAGAUUAAUCGGCAAAGAAUACUUUGCCGUCAGCUUUUUAUCUGACAGACGGCAAAUUCUUUGCCGUCAGCCGAAACUUCUUUGCCGUCUGCCUUAUAAAUCACAAACGGCAAAGAAAAGUGGUUUUGCCGUCAGCUAGACUACAUCUUUGCCAUGAGCUAUUUGUGUCUUUGCCUUCAACCUCGUAUAUCACAGACCGCAAAGAAUGGGUAAAAUUAAAAAAAAUACAGCAGGGUUGCUCCCAAGGGAUGCUGUCAACGCAUGCAAGUGCACCUUAUCUAAUCUUUCUUCAUCUUUUUAAGAGGGAAAGGCCUGUCCGUCAGUCCGUCUCUAGUGCCUUUCAUUCAACAUUAGAGGAGUACAAAAUGUAAACCGGACCGCGAGAGAACUAAAGUUAUAGAAUAGUCCUUAAAAUUUACAAAAAGGACGCUAAAACAUAAAAUGGAAAAGCAAUCAGGUCCUUCUUCGUCGCUGCAGAGGUCUGCUCGCCCAACCAUCCAGCCGGAUGCCCACCGCGCCACUCUAUCGUGCUCAGCUUGCCGCGCCGCCGCCCUGUCCUGCUCGUCGCGCCGCCGUCUGGACCCGCUCAGCUGCGCGGCUCUGCCCCAGCCGCGCUUGGGAGGCAUGGAAGGGAGUCGGGGAUGGGCAGUGCUCGCCAGGCGGAGUCCCCGGCUGCUGUCGCGGCAGAGCUCGCGAGUCAGGCACGGGACCUCAAGGCCAGGGCUGGUACCGAGAUGGCGGCCAGCGAGGUGGAGGUGGGCGCCGGCAGGCCUACGGUGGCGACGGGGGAAGUGGCCGCGGCCGCCAGGCAAAGUGGUUGCCGGCGAGGCAGGGAACAGGGGGCGAGCUGUUGGCCGGGGCCGGUGGUCGAGGUGGUGCGGGCGCCGGUCGGUUUGCUCGAUGGACCGAGAGGGAGAGAAACGAGAGGGAGAGAGAGACGUGCGGUGGGGAUGGGGAUAAGGUAGACAGGACGUGGGGCGCGUGGGUGCUACCUGGGGGCGUGUGCAUCGUGGGUGGGUGGUGUGUGGACGGCCUGGUGGGUGGGAUGUGCGUCUAUGAUGUUGCCAAGUCAUCGAUCCAUGUGAUCGAUACCUGUGAUGUGCUUUCUCUUUGCCGUCUGCAACAAAAAAUACAGACGGCAUAGAGCUCACUUUGCCGUCUGCAAAACAAAACACAGAUGGCAAAUAAUCUUUGCCAUCUGCGGAAAAAGUAUAGACAGCAAAGAAUCUUUGCCGUCUGUGAUUUUUGUUGCAUACGGCAAAGUGAGCUCUUUGCCGUCUGUGAUUUUUCUCGCAGAUGGCAAAGUUUAUUUUCCCGUCAGUUUUUCUUUGCUGUCUGGUGAUGCCAUCAAACCCUUUCUUUGCCGUCUGCCCGACGAAAAGCUGACGGCAAAUUAUCUGUUUCCCGUAGUGGGAGUGACAGAGGUCUAUGGAAAAUGUGACUUAAGUCCGCAUGCUGCUGUGCCUAUACCAGAGUGAUGUCUUUAUUGAGCAAAAGAGUGUAGUUUAGGGAACAAUGUGAUUAGAGGGCUAUUCAUCCACUUAUCUAUCCAGAGCAUUAUAGUAUAUCCUCUACCAGCUUUGCACUUUGUAUGCCCUUUGAAUGUGGGCAACAGUUUCAUUACAGAUUUCCACCAGAAUGAACCAAUAAAUCUAUCUCCUGGUAAACUCUCCUAGUAAUAUGUCUCCCAAAUAAUAUUAACCCAUGGAAUGUCUUCUCUAUUGAAGAAUUUGUGCAGAAAUUUCAUGAGCAGGGCUUGAUUAUGAACCUGAAGAUCUAAAACUCCCAAGCCACCAUGGGAUUUAGGUAGACAAACUUUAUUCUAGGAGAUCAGUACCAUGCCUCUGUCAUGAGUUACAUAUUUCCUCCAAAAGCAGUUCAUCAGGUAGGAGUUAAUUUGUUUAAGCACAGUCUUUGGGAUCAUGAGAGUGCACAUGAAAAAGGUUGGCAUGCUUGUAAAGACUGGCUUGAGCAGUGUGAGCUUAUCUCUAGUAGAUAACAUUGUGGAGCAGCUAAGCAAUAUGUUUUCAUUUCUCUUCAACGUUGGCAUACAGUCUUCAAGUUUUGGUUUGGUAGAGCCCAGUGGAAGUCCCAAGUAAGUGUCAGGCCAACAUCCAAUUUUACACCCAAGCAGAGUACAUAGUUCCAGCAUUUUCUCUUGAGGAGUAUUAAUAGAAAUAAUUGUGUAUUUUGAGUAAUUGAUUUGCAGACCAGAGAAUUCAGCAUAGUGCAAGAGCAGAUUUUUGAUAUGUUGAACUUGUCUGUGGUCAGCCUGGGCCACAAGCACAGUAUCAUCAGCAUAUUGAAUAAUGGGGAAAUCAGAAGAAGAGUUGUGUUGCAGAGGUGGACGCACCAUGGCAUUUCUCAUGGCUCCAUUAAGCAUGCUUUGUGAUACGUCUCCAACGUAUCUAUAAUUUUUGGUUGUUCCAUGCUAUUAUAUUAUCAACCUUGGAUGUUUUAUAUGCAAUUAUAUGAUAUUUUAUGUGAUUUUUGGGACUAACCUAUUAACCUAGAGCCUAGUGCCAGUUUCUGUUUUUUCCUUGUUUUGGAGUAUCGCAGAAAAGGAAAAUCAAAUGGAGUCUAAUUGACCUGAAACUUCACAGAACUUAUUUUUGGAAUGGGAGCAAUCCAGGAGACUUGGAGUAGACAUCAGGGAAGCUUCGAGGGAGGCACGAGCCAGGGAGGCGUGCCCUACCCCCCGGGCGCUCCCCCCACCCUGGUGGGCCCCUCGUGGAUCCCCUGACCGACUUCUUUCGCCUAUAUAUGUCCAUAUACCCUGAAAACAUCGGGGAGCAGAAUAGAUCGGGAGUUCCGCCGCCAGAAGCCCCCGUAGCCACCGAAAACCAAUCUAGACCCGUUCCGGCACCCUACCGGAGGGGGAAUCCCUCUCCGGUGGCCAUCUUCAUCAUCCUGGCGCUCUCCAUGACGAGGAGGGAGUAGUUCACCCUCGGGGCUGAGGGUAUGUACCAGUAGCUAUGUGUUUAAUCUCUCUCUCUCUCUCUCUCUCUCUCUGUCUCGUGAGGUGCCACGAUCUUGAUUUAUCACGAGCUUUGCUAUUAUAGUUGGAUCUUAUGAUGUUUAUUCCCCCCUCUACUCUCUUGUGAUGAAUUGAGUUUUCCCUUUGAAGUUAUCUUAUCGGAUAGAGUCUUUAAGGAUUUGAAAACACUUGAUGUAUGUCUUGCACGUGCUUAUCUAUGGUGACAAUGGGAUAUCAUGUGAUCCACUUGAUGUAUGUUUUGGUGAUCAACUUGCGGGUUUCGUGACCUCGUGAACUUAUGCAUAGGGGUUGGCACACAUUUUCGUCUUGACUCUUCGGUAGAAACUUUGGGGCACUCUUUGAGGUUCUUUGUGUUGGUUGAAUAGAUGAAUCUGAGAUUGUGUGAUGCAUAUCGUAUAAUCAUACCCACGGAUACUUGAGGUGACAUUGGAGUAUCUAGGUGACAUUAGGGUUUUGGUUGAUUUGUGACUUAAGGUGUUAUUCUAGUACGAACUCUAUGAUAUAUUGAAUGGAAAGAAUAGCUUCAUGUUAUUUUACUACAGACUCUUGAAUAGAUCGAUCAAAAAGGAUAACUUUGAGGUGGUUUCGUACCCUACCAUAAUCUCUUCGUUUGUUCUCCGCUAUUAGUGACUUUGGAGUGACUCUUUUUUGCAUGUUGAGGGAUUGUUAUAUGAUCCAAUUAUGUUAUUAUUGUUGAGAGAACUUGCACUAGUGAAAGUAUGAACCCUAGGCCUUGUUUCCCAGCAUUGCAAUACCGUUUACGCUUACUUUUAUCAUUAGUUACCUUGCUGUUUUUCUUUUUUCAGAUUACAAAAAUCAUUAUCUACUAUCCAUAUUGCACUUGUAUCACCAUCUCUUCGCCGAACUAGUGCACCUAUACAAUUUACCAUUGUAUUGGGUGUGUUGGGGACACAAGAGACUCUUUGUUAUUUGGUUGCAGGGUUGCUUGAGAGAGACCAUCUUCAUCCUAUGCCUCCCACGGAUUGAUAAACCUUAGGUCAUCCACUUGAGGGAAAUUUGCUACUGUCCUACAAACCACUGCACUUGGAGGCCCAACAAUUUCUACAAGAAGAAGGUUGUGUAGUAGAUAUCAAGCUCUUUUCUGGCGCCGUUGAAGGGGAGGUUAGUGCUUGAAGGUAUAUCUUUAGAUCUUGCAAUCGAAUCUUUUUGUUUCUUGUUUUAUCACCAGUUUAGUUUAUAAAAGAAAACUACAAAAAAUGGAAUUGAGUUUGCCUCAUACGCUUCAUCUUUUUAAUAUCUUUCGCGAGAAUGAUGGAAAGGAAAAUUGUGCUCAAAUGAUAGAAGAAGAAGUCUCUAAAAUGUUUGGCACUAAAUCUUUGAAUGAUGAGCAUGAUUGCAAUGUUAUUAGUAUGAACUCUUUGAAUAUCCAUAGUACCAAUGAUGAUUGCACUAGUUAUGAUGAAAAUAUCUCUUAUAAGCAUGUCGAUUUUUGUGGAGUGAAUAGAGUUUGCAAGUACAUACCAAACAGUGAAGAUAGAUUUUGCAAGCGGCAUAAGUAUUUGGAAACUAAAUGGUUGCAAGAGAGGCUAGAUGUUAGUGCUAAAAAUUUAAAAUAUCUUAGCCAUACUUGUGAACUUCGCAAUGAACAUGGUCAUUUAAAUAUCAAAUGCAAAUUGUUUCAUGAUCGAAUCGUGUCCAAAAAUUGUGAUGACUUGAUUUCCCUUGCACAUCAUAAUGAACUUAGUUUGCUUUUGGGUUAUGAAGAAAUGAAACGUCAAACUAACCAUAUUCUAGAAUAUAACCUUGAGAAAUUCCUCGAUAUUGAUCUAGAAGAAAUCUAUAUGUAUUGUGUGGUGAAUUGCAUUGAAAAUCCUUAUAUUGCCAAUUACAUAAAGAAAAGAAAACAAAUAGAGGAUGAAGGGAAUACUAAUGAAAGGGAAGAGGCUUCCCAAUAUCCUCCUAUUAUUUCUUAUGAUGAAUCAGGUAACGAGGAUGCCCUUCUAUUCAACCAAUCUCAUCAAUAAGGAGCUCCAAAAAGAGGAUUGAACCCACACAUAAUGUGAAGAAGAAAAAGAAAAGACGGAGAAGUAAAGGUAAAGAGGUAUCCCUCCCAAAUGAUGUUGCCCCUAUUACUCAUUGUGAUAAUGAUAAUUGCUAUACUAUUGGUGCUAUCCAUACUAUUAAUGAUGAGAGUGAUUAUGCUUAUGAUAUGAAAAGGCCCAAGCUUGGGGAUGCUAUGUUUGAUGAGAAUGACAUGUUUGAGAAUAUAUUUGUUGCAAUUAAUGUCUGUCCCAAGAUUGGGGAGGCUAUGUUUAAUGAAGAUGUUAUUUUUGGCCUCCCAAGUUUUGAUGAGAAAAUUUAUUAUGAUGAUAGCAUGCCUCCUAUUUAUGAUGAUUAUUGCAAUGACACUUAUGCUAUAAAGAGUAGUGAUGAUUAUCUAUAAAACUUGUCAUGAUUAUGAUUACCCUUUUUCUGAAUACUACUCUUUUAAUGUGGAAACAAUUUGUAGUAUUCGAGUUUCUUAUGAUACUCCCACUAUUCCGAAUGAGAAGAAUUUUGCUUAUGUGGGGAGUAGUAAAUUUUCUAUGCUUGUAGAUCAUGAAAGAAAUGCUUUAUGUGAUGGUUAUAUUGUUGAAUUAAUUCAUGAUGCUACUGAAAAUUAUUAUGAGGGAGGAACAUAUGCUUGUAGGAAUUGCAAUAAUAUCAAGUUUCCUCUCUAUGUGCUUAAAGUUUUGAAGUUAUGCUUGUUUUGCCCUCCUAUGCUAGUUGAUUAUUGUUCCCAUAUGUUGUUUUCUCACAAAAUCCCUAUGCAUAGGAAGAGGAUUAGACUUAAAUGUGCAAGUCAUAUUCUUCAUGAUGCUCCUGUUAUGUUUCAAUUCUUACCUUUGUGAGCAUCAUUGAAAUCAUCAUGCCUAGCUAGGGGCGUUAGACGUUAGCGCUUGUUGGGAGGCAACCCAAUUUUAUUUUUGCUCCUGUUUAGUAAUAAAUAAUCCAUCUAGACUCUGUUUAGAUGUGGUUUUAUGCUUUUAAUUAGUGUUUGUGCCAAGUAAAGCCUUUAGGACCUUCUUGGAUGAUUGUUAUUUGAUCUUGCUGUAAAAAACAGAAAGUAUGCACUCACGAGAAUAAUUUCCAUUUCUUACCAAAGAGCGAUAAAAUACCAAUUACACUUGAAGUAGAUUAAUAAAAGAAUUUCCUAGGACUUCCUAAUUUCUCAGGAUUUUGGAGUUACAAAAUCCUACAGAUUACUACAGACUGUUCUGUUUUUGACAGAUUCUGUUUUCUAUGUGUUGUUUGCUUAUUUUGAUGAAUCUAUGAGUAGUAUCGGAGGGUAUGAACCAUAGAUGAGUUGGAAUACAGUAGAUAUUACACCAAUAUGAAUUUAUAAUGAGUUCACAAUAGUACCUAAGUGGUGAUUUAUUUUCUUAUACUAACGGAGCUUACGAGUUUUCUGUUAUGUUUUGUGUUGUGAAGUUUUCAAGUUUUGGGUAAAGAUUUGAUGGACUAUGGAAUAAGGAGUGGCAAGAGCCUAAGAUUGGGGAUGCCCAAGGCACCCCAAGGUAAUAUUCAAGGACAACCAAAAGCCUAACCUAGAGCCUAGUGCCAAUUUCUGUUUUUCCUUGUUUUAGAGUAUCGCAGAAAAGGAAAAUCAAACGGAGUCCAAUUGACCUGAAACUUCACGGAACUUAUUUUUGGAACGGGAGCAAUCCAGGAGACUUGGAGUAGACGUCAGGGAAGCUUCAAGGGAGGCACGAGGCAGGGAGGCGUGCCCUACCCCCCUGGGCGCUCCCACCACCCUGGUGGGCCCCUCGUGGAUCCCCUGACCGACUUCUUUCGCCUAUAUAUGUCCAUAUACCCUAAAAACAUCGUGGAGCAGAAUAGAUCGGGAGUUCCGCCUCCAGAAGCUCCGUAGCCACCGAAAACCAAUCUAGACCCGUUCCGGCACCCUACCAGAGGGGGAAUCCCUUUUCGGUGGCCAUCUUCAUCAUCCCGGCGCUCUCCAUGACGAGGAGGGAGUAGUUCACCCUCGGGGCUGAGGGUAUGUACCAGUAGCUAUGUGUUUGAUCUCUCUCUCUCUCUCUCUCUCUCUCUCGUGUUCUUGAGGUGGCACGAUCUUGAUGUAUCACGAGCUUUGCUAUUAUAGUUGGAUCUUAUGAUGUUUGCCGUCAGAAAGCAGACGGCAAAGUCAGAUGGCAAAGAUUAAUCGGCAAAGAAUACUUUGCCGUCAGCUUUUUAUCUGACAGACGGCAAAUUCUUUGCCGUCAGCCGAAACUUCUUUGCCGUCUGCCUUAUAAAUCACAAACGGCAAAGAAAAGUGGUUUUGCCGUCAGCUAGACUACAUCUUUGCCAUGAGCUAUUUGUGUCUUUGCCUUCAACCUCGUAUAUCACAGACCGCAAAGAAUGGGUAAAAUUAAAAAAAUACAGCAGCGUUGCUCCCAAGGGAUGCUGUCAACGCAUGCAAGUGCACCUUAUCUAAUCUUUCUUCAUCUUUUUAAGAGGGAAAGGCCUGUCCGUCAGUCCGUCUCUAGUGCCUUUCAUUCAACAUUAGAGGAGUACAAAAUGUAAACCGGACCGCGAGAGAACUAAAGUUAUAGAAUAGUCCUUAAAAUUUACAAAAAGGACGCUAAAACAUAAAAUGGAAAAGCAAUCAGGUCCUUCUUCUUCGCUGCAGAGGUCUGCUCGCCCAACCGUCCAGCCGGAUGCCCACCGUGCCACUCUAUCGUGCUCAGCUUGCCGCGCCGCCGCCCUGUCCUGCUCGUCGCGCCGCCGUCUGGACCCGCUC
This 10773-nucleotide long non-coding RNA is filed under the name Triticum aestivum (bread wheat). RNAcentral's name for it is "long non-coding RNA (TAES_LNC020239)". The record is from RNAcentral. Lineage: Eukaryota; Viridiplantae; Streptophyta; Magnoliopsida; Poales; Poaceae.